UUGCCUACAGCGCGCUUCAGUGAGCGUCAAACACACAAGACCGCGUGCGUGGGUAAUCAUAAAAUUAAUCGCUUCAGGCGUAAUGUGGCUGGCCGCCAUAAUCA
Molecule: antisense RNA, 104 nt
Filed under: Moraxella macacae 0408225
Lineage: Bacteria; Pseudomonadati; Pseudomonadota; Gammaproteobacteria; Moraxellales; Moraxellaceae
Description: Vibrio RNA AS9
Rfam family: Vibrio RNA AS9
About the family: Identified by direct cloning an parallel sequencing experiments with 5S/tRNA depletion. Confirmed by Northern blot.
Source: Rfam by way of RNAcentral